AUCAAAGGGAAACCUGCCGUCUCUUUCAGGAAUCCACAAAUGCAGGUGGAUUUCCACACUGGGACUGAUGAGAACUUAGACAUCGCCUUUCAUUUUUGAGUGUCCUGUGGCCAAGCUGUGAAGAUAAACAGCCAUCAAGAUGGGAGCUGAAACUGUGAGGUGGAAUCCUCCGAAAUGCCCUGUGCCGAUGGCCAACCAUCUGUCCUGCACGCCCGGUACUGUAGAAUGAGGACAGGGUCAAGAUCAGUUUACACGCCACUUUGCUCCAGAUGGAGAAUUGGCUCUGACUUCACCCACAGGUAUCAUUUCUACCUAUGCCAUUAUUAUUUGAAUUUUUGUGUCACUAAAUAGUUAAAAUAUGCAUAUGUGUAAUUAUAGUCCAUCCAAUAUAACUCUUUCUCUCACUCUCAAACCAGAACAACUUUCUAGUUUCUUUACACUCCUUCCAGAGGUAAAAUAUGACUGUACAAGUACAUUUACUAUCUAUUCAUUUUAUGUAUAUUUUUCAUUUCUUUUUAAACAAAUGGUGUUAUAAAU
Molecule: long non-coding RNA, 537 nt
Filed under: Cervus hanglu yarkandensis (Yarkand deer)
Lineage: Eukaryota; Metazoa; Chordata; Mammalia; Artiodactyla; Cervidae
Description: lncRNA (ENSCHYG00000027127.1)
Source: RNAcentral